Molecule: ribosomal RNA, 489 nt
Filed under: Bacteroidetes bacterium enrichment culture DGGE band 39
Lineage: Bacteria; Pseudomonadati; Bacteroidota
Description: bacterial SSU rRNA
Rfam family: Bacterial small subunit ribosomal RNA
Source: RNAcentral
AACCAGCCAUCCCGCGUGAAGGAUGACUGCCCUAUGGGUUGUAAACUUCUUUUAUAUGCAAAUAAACCUACUUUCGUGAAAGUAGCUGAAGGUAGCAUAUGAAUAAACACCGGCUAACUCCGUGCCAGCAGCCGCGGUAAUACGGAGGGUGUAAGCGUUAUCCGGAUUUAUUGGGUUUAAAGGGUACGUAGGCGGUAAUAUAAGUCAGUGGUGAAAUCCUGCAGCUCAACUGUAGAACUGCCAUUGAAACUGUAUUACUUGAGUAUACUUGAGGUAGGCGGAAUGAGUAGUGUAGCGGUGAAAUGCUUAGAUAUUACUCAGAACACCGAUUGCGAAGGCAGCUUACUAAGGUAUAACUGACGCUGAUGUACGAAAGCGUGGGGAGCGAACAGGAUUAGAUACCCUGGUAGUCCACGCCGUAACGAUGAUUACUCGCUGUUGGCGAUACACAGUCAGUGGCUAAGCGAAAGUUUUAAGUAAUCCACCUGG